Anopheles bellator is the source of this 82-nucleotide non-coding RNA. NCBI's taxonomy places the organism in Eukaryota, Metazoa, Arthropoda, Insecta, Diptera, Culicidae. The record is from the annotation of a RefSeq genome assembly.
GCCCGGCUAGCUCAGUCGGUAGAGCAUGAGACUCUUAAUCUCAGGGUCGUGGGUUCGAGCCUCGAGCCCCACGUUUUGGGCG